GAUGAACGCUGGCGGCGUGCCUAAUACAUGCAAGUCGAGCGAACAGAUAAGGAGCUUGCUCCUUUGACGUUAGCGGCGGACGGGUGAGUAACACGUGGGUAACCUACCUAUAAGACUGGGAUAACUUCGGGAAACCGGAGCUAAUACCGGAUAACAUUUGGAACUGCAUGGUUCUAAAGUGAAAGAUGGUUUUGCUAUCACUUAUAGAUGGACCCGCGCCGUAUUAGCUAGUUGGUAAGGUAACGGCUUACCAAGGCAACGAUACGUAGCCGACCUGAGAGGGUGAUCGGCCACACUGGAACUGAGACACGGUCCAGACUCCUACGGGAGGCAGCAGUAGGGAAUCUUCCGCAAUGGGCGAAAGCCUGACGGAGCAACGCCGCGUGAGUGAUGAAGGGUUUCGGCUCGUAAAACUCUGUUAUUAGGGAAGAACAAACGUGUAAGUAACUGUGCACGUCUUGACGGUACCUAAUCAGAAAGCCACGGCUAACUACGUG
RNAcentral lists this ribosomal RNA (497 nucleotides) under uncultured bacterium. Its description in RNAcentral is "partial 16S ribosomal RNA". It matches the Rfam family "Bacterial small subunit ribosomal RNA", at positions 28 to 507 of the family's 1533-position model. The record is from RNAcentral.